GCUAUGGUUAGUGGUAUCAGAAACCAAGAAUUCAGAGUGAUCCUAUCAUAACACCCAACUAUCCAAAAGGAACUUAUAACGUGCUAUGGAAAACAUUCAGAAUUUCUCAUAUGAAGACUUCUCUAUAGAGAUGAUAAUAUAAACUGAGAAGUCAUUGGUUCACUGCUCAAAGAAGGCUGCCCGGUGAAUGUCUGGCUUAGAGAAUUACUGAAUUCAGAAUACAACCCUGAUUUGAAGCAAACAUAUGUUAAGCACCUACAGGAUGCUGCAAAGCUAUGUUGUUUGUAUCUAAGAUUUAAGCAGGUCUUUGUUGUAUGAUCUCUAGGAGACACCUGCAAAUGUUGGACAUGGCAUGCUUUUUCAAAGAAAGAGUGCUGUUUUCAAUUUGAAUUUCUCUUGAGAAGCUUGUGUUACGUAAGGCACUCUACUUACUCCAAGAACACUGAAUUCUUUACAUUUCACCACGUUCUGAGGUGAAAUCAAACGGCAAAAUCCUUUCGGACCACCAAAGUGAGAUUAUACAAUACUUCAGCAUCCUCAAUUGCCAGUUCAGCCACGGCUGCGACAUGAAGGCUCAACAACCAAAUGUGAACUGACAGGGUGAUAUUUCCAAUGCAAUUAACUGCCUUCCAGACUAUCCUGCUACCUUAAUGUUAAUUACAUGUUUGUGAAAUAAUAUACUCCUACUUAAGGGCUGUCUUUCA
Molecule: long non-coding RNA, 704 nt
Organism: Anolis carolinensis (green anole)
Lineage: Eukaryota; Metazoa; Chordata; Lepidosauria; Squamata; Anolidae
Exons: 2
Source: RefSeq, a predicted model, not a curated record